AGAAGCGCAUACGGUGGAUGCCUUGGCAGUCAGAGGCGAUGAAAGACGUGGUAGCCUGCGAAAAGCUUCGGGGAGUCGGCAAACAGACUUUGAUCCGGAGAUCUCUGAAUGGGGGAACCCACCUAGGAUAACCUAGGUAUCUUGUACUGAAUCCAUAGGUGCAAGAGGCGAACCAGGGGAACUGAAACAUCUAAGUACCCUGAGGAAAAGAAAUCAACCGAGAUUCCCUUAGUAGUGGCGAGCGAACGGGGAUUAGCCCUUAAGCUUCAUUGAUUUUAGCGGAACGCUCUGGAAAGUGCGGCCAUAGUGGGUGAUAGCCCCGUACGCGAAAGGAUCUUUGAAGUGAAAUCGAGUAGGACGGAGCACGAGAAACUUUGUCUGAACAUGGGGGGACCAUCCUCCAAGGCUAAAUACUACUGACUGACCGAUAGUGAACCAGUACCGUGAGGGAAAGGCGAAAAGAACCCCGGAGAGGGGAGUGAAAUAGAACCUGAAACCGUAUGCGUACAAGCAGUGGGAGCCUACUUGUUAGGUGACUGCGUACCUUUUGUAUAAUGGGUCAGCGACUUAUAUUCAGUGGCAAGCUUAACCGUAUAGGGUAGGCGUAGCGAAAGCGAGUCUUAAUAGGGCGUUUAGUCGCUGGGUAUAGACCCGAAACCGGGCGAUCUAUCCAUGAGCAGGUUGAAGGUUAGGUAACACUGACUGGAGGACCGAACCCACUCCCGUUGAAAAGGUAGGGGAUGACUUGUGGAUCGGAGUGAAAGGCUAAUCAAGCUCGGAGAUAGCUGGUUCUCCUCGAAAGCUAUUUAGGUAGCGCCUCAUGUAUCACUCUGGGGGGUAGAGCACUGUUUCGGCUAGGGGGUCAUCCCGACUUACCAAACCGAUGCAAACUCCGAAUACCCAGAAGUGCCGAGCAUGGGAGACACACGGCGGGUGCUAACGUCCGUCGUGAAAAGGGAAACAACCCAGACCGCCAGCUAAGGUCCCAAAGUUGUGGUUAAGUGGUAAACGAUGUGGGAAGGCUUAGACAGCUAGGAGGUUGGCUUAGAAGCAGCCACCCUUUAAAGAAAGCGUAAUAGCUCACUAGUCGAGUCGGCCUGCGCGGAAGAUGUAACGGGGCUCAAACCACACACCGAAGCUGCGGGUGUCACGUAAGUGACGCGGUAGAGGAGCGUUCUGUAAGCCUGUGAAGGUGAGUUGAGAAGCUUGCUGGAGGUAUCAGAAGUGCGAAUGCUGACAUGAGUAACGACAAUGGGUGUGAAAAACACCCACGCCGAAAGACCAAGGGUUCCUGCGCAACGUUAAUCGACGCAGGGUUAGUCGGUUCCUAAGGCGAGGCUGAAAAGCGUAGUCGAUGGGAAACAGGUUAAUAUUCCUGUACUUCUGGUUACUGCGAUGGAGGGACGGAGAAGGCUAGGCCAGCUUGGCGUUGGUUGUCCAAGUUUAAGGUGGUAGGCUGAAAUCUUAGGUAAAUCCGGGGUUUCAAGGCCGAGAGCUGAUGACGAGUCGUCUUUUAGAUGACGAAGUGGUUGAUGCCAUGCUUCCAAGAAAAGCUUCUAAGCUUCAGGUAACCAGGAACCGUACCCCAAACCGACACAGGUGGUCGGGUAGAGAAUACCAAGGCGCUUGAGAGAACUCGGGUGAAGGAACUAGGCAAAAUGGCACCGUAACUUCGGGAGAAGGUGCGCCGGCUAGGGUGAAGGAUUUACUCCGUAAGCUCUGGCUGGUCGAAGAUACCAGGCCGCUGCGACUGUUUAUUAAAAACACAGCACUCUGCAAACACGAAAGUGGACGUAUAGGGUGUGACGCCUGCCCGGUGCCGGAAGGUUAAUUGAUGGGGUUAGCGCAAGCGAAGCUCUUGAUCGAAGCCCCGGUAAACGGCGGCCGUAACUAUAACGGUCCUAAGGUAGCGAAAUUCCUUGUCGGGUAAGUUCCGACCUGCACGAAUGGCGUAACGAUGGCGGCGCUGUCUCCACCCGAGACUCAGUGAAAUUGAAAUCGCUGUGAAGAUGCAGUGUAUCCGCGGCUAGACGGAAAGACCCCGUGAACCUUUACUGUAGCUUUGCACUGGACUUUGAGCCUGCUUGUGUAGGAUAGGUGGGAGGCUUUGAAGCGUGGACGCCAGUUCGCGUGGAGCCAUCCUUGAAAUACCACCCUGGCAUGCUUGAGGUUCUAACUCUGGUCCGUAAUCCGGAUCGAGGACAGUGUAUGGUGGGCAGUUUGACUGGGGCGGUCUCCUCCUAAAGAGUAACGGAGGAGUACGAAGGUGCGCUCAGACCGGUCGGAAAUCGGUCGUAGAGUAUAAAGGCAAAAGCGCGCUUGACUGCGAGACAGACACGUCGAGCAGGUACGAAAGUAGGUCUUAGUGAUCCGGUGGUUCUGUAUGGAAGGGCCAUCGCUCAACGGAUAAAAGGUACUCCGGGGAUAACAGGCUGAUACCGCCCAAGAGUUCAUAUCGACGGCGGUGUUUGGCACCUCGAUGUCGGCUCAUCACAUCCUGGGGCUGAAGCCGGUCCCAAGGGUAUGGCUGUUCGCCAUUUAAAGUGGUACGCGAGCUGGGUUUAGAACGUCGUGAGACAGUUCGGUCCCUAUCUGCCGUGGACGUUUGAGAUUUGAGAGGGGCUGCUCCUAGUACGAGAGGACCGGAGUGGACGAACCUCUGGUGUUCCGGUUGUCACGCCAGUGGCAUUGCCGGGUAGCUAUGUUCGGAAAAGAUAACCGCUGAAAGCAUCUAAGCGGGAAACUUGCCUCAAGAUGAGAUCUCACUGGGAACUUGAUUCCCCUGAAGGGCCGUCGAAGACUACGACGUUGAUAGGCUGGGUGUGUAAGCGUUGUGAGGCGUUGAGCUAACCAGUACUAAUUGCCCGUGAGGCUUGACC
This 2879-nucleotide ribosomal RNA is filed under the name Pseudomonas aeruginosa. Its description in RNAcentral is "bacterial LSU rRNA". It matches the Rfam family "Bacterial large subunit ribosomal RNA". Lineage: Bacteria; Pseudomonadati; Pseudomonadota; Gammaproteobacteria; Pseudomonadales; Pseudomonadaceae. The record is from RNAcentral. RNAcentral also lists the same sequence under 1 other name.